UGAUGAAGGCGUCGGACGGCAGCCUCCUGGGGGACCCCGGACGAACACCGCUCAGCAAGAAGGAGGGCGUCAAGUGGCAGAGGUCACGGCUCAGCCACCAGGCCCUGAUGCGGUGCUGCUUGGUCAAGUGGAUCCUAUCCAGCGCAGCUCCACAGGGCUCAGGACCUGCACUGGGACUUAGAUCAUUACCUGUACUGGUUCUCAGGUCUUUGGACUCAGACUGAAUUACAUCAUUGACUUUCUGGACUCUCCAGUUUGCAAACAGAUCAGAGAACUUUCCAGCCUCCACAGUCAUGUAAGUCAAUUCCUUCUAUGUCUCUAUCUAUCUAUCUAUCUAUCUAUCUAUCUAUCUAUCUAUCUAUCUAUCUAUGUAUCUACUGUCUCUCUGGGAAACCCUGAUUAAUGCAAAAUGUACACAACAAUUUCCUGUUUUUAUAAUUUAUUUGUUAAUUAUUAAAUCUUCAGAUGCUGUAAGAAGCAUUUCUCACAAUGCCCACCUCAUUGUUUGUAAAGCAGUCAUAUAGUCAAGCCUUCAAUUGUCUUAAAAACAUUCAUUUUCUUUGCUGUAUAUCAAUAAUCAAAGUUUCUAAAAAUGCAUCUAUAGUAGCUACAUGCUUUUAUAAAUCAAUUUUCUCUGUUCCAGUUGUUCCUCCUUAAAUACAUGGAUAAAGCAAUAUGUAUAAAGAGAUUAGUUAUUGGGAUUAAAUUCAAAGUUCUACCAGGAAGUCAAAUAAAUAAUGUAUAAGAUG
Galeopterus variegatus (Sunda flying lemur) is the source of this 749-nucleotide long non-coding RNA. RefSeq lists it as uncharacterized. Lineage: Eukaryota; Metazoa; Chordata; Mammalia; Dermoptera; Cynocephalidae. The record is from RefSeq and is a predicted model, not a curated record. The transcript is spliced from 2 exons.